Molecule: non-coding RNA, 3699 nt
Organism: Salmo salar (Atlantic salmon)
Lineage: Eukaryota; Metazoa; Chordata; Actinopteri; Salmoniformes; Salmonidae
Source: RefSeq, a predicted model, not a curated record
GCCAAGUUGGUCCAGACACGCGCAUUGUUGCGUAACUGUUUCAAAGGUUGCGUACACCACUUUUCGGAACACUAUGUUAUUAUCAGGUUAUUAUACGUGAGAAAAGAGACCGGCUCGGAUAAUUUCAGCUGGGGUUCAAGGAUCGAGGUACCCGCCCCCCAGUCUGUGCAGGGUUCACACAGACACACAGACAGACAGUGUGUGAAGGUGAUGCACAGUAUGUGGCUAUAGCAGCAACAGGAUGAGCGGUGGAGCCCUGGGUAUCGAGAUUGUGCUGGUUUUCUUCCUGCCACUAUUUCUCCUGCAUCGCUAUGGACACUUCCGCAAGCAACACCCACUGGUGCUGUUCGGGACCCUCCUGUCCUGGUAUCUCUGCUUCCUCAUCGUCUUCAUCCUUCCCCUGGAUGUCAGCACGACCAUAUAUAACCAGUGUAAGAUUGACAACGAGAAACCCAGGGAUCUGACCAGUUCAGACCCCUUUAAUCAGACAUCCAACUCCUCUGUCUUCCCUACAAGCACACCUAAAGUAUGUCACAAGCCAUGGAGCUAUAUUCCUGAUGGAAUUCUGCCAGUGUUCUGGCGUGUGGUCUACUGGACCUCUCAGUGUCUGACCUGGCUGUUGCUCCCCUUCAUGCAGUCCUAUGCACGCUCUGGGGGCUUUUCUAUCCUCGGUAAGAUUAAGACGGCCCUUAUCGAGAACGCCAUCUACUAUGGCACCUACCUGAUCAUCUUUUGCUCCUUGCUUAUCUACGUGGCUGUCCAUCCCCAGUGGCAGCUAACCUGGCAGGGCCUGCAAACCAUUAGCAUCGCAGCAGCAAACACCUGGGGGCUUUUCCUCUUGGUGCUGUUGCUAGGUUACGGCCUGGUGGAGAUCCCGUGCUUGUACUGGAACUCCUCUCGCCACGGUUACCUGUUGGCCAAGACCUACUUCAAGGUGGCCAAGCUGGCGACGGAAAAGUCAGACGCUGAGGAAAACAUGGAUGACGCCAUGGAGGAGGUGGCAAAUGUCAACGAAUCAGUUGGGUACAGUCACCCCCUAAGGAACAACAUUGACACUAUUUUGAGAAAGUGUCCCAUGGAAAUCCAGGAGAAAAUGGUGAGGCUGAACGCGGAGGACAGUGAGGAUGAAAGCACACAGAGGACCUAUCCUUCCAAAAGGAGCCUAGUGAAGCUUCAUAAGCAAGUGAUCUAUGCUGGCCAGAGACACAGUCAAACACAGGUCCAGUGGGCGAUCCUUCUGGAAGAGGCCUUCCAUUUAGAGGACGUGUGUAAGAAUGAGACCAGUGCCUCCCAUCAGUUUGUCCAUAGUUUCCUCUCCUCCCAGCCACCCGGCUGGCUCGGCAAAUACCUGUACACUCCCACCAUAGAGUGGUACUGGGAGUGUGUGCUGCGACAGUGGUGCUACCGGCUGCUGGCACUACUGCUGUCUCUACUCUCUGUGGCUGUGGUGUGGUCUGAAUGCACAUUCUUCAGCACACAUCCUGUCCUCUCUCUCUUCGCCAUCUUCAUCCAGUUAGCAGAGAGGGACUACAGCUACUUGUACAUAGAGAUGGCGUGCUUCGUCACUAUUUUGUUCCUGUGUGUUUGUGUCUACUCCACCGUGUUCCGCAUCCGAGUCUUCAACUACUACUACCUGGUACCUCACCAUCAGACAGACGCCUACAGCCUACUGUUCAGCGGAAUGUUGUUCUGUCGACUGACUCCUCCGCUGUGUCUCAACUUCCUGGGUCUCAUCCACAUGGACGCCUCCAUUUCUCACCAGCAGAGAAUAGAGACAGCAUACACCACAAUCAUGGGCUCUAUGCGUCUCCUCUCCUUCAUAGCAGAUGGUUUCUACAUCUAUUACCCCAUGCUCAUAGUCCUCCUCUGCAUCGCCACCUACUGCAGCCUGGGUACCCGCUGUCUCAACCUCCUGGGGUUCCCACAGUAUAUUAGUCAGAGCGAUGACUUGACCUCUGAGCUGGUGGAAGAGGGCAGAGAGCUUAUCAGAAGAGAAAGAAGAAACCGACAGAGAAGCGAGGAUGGGGAGAGUCGGAAACGAGUGAGCACGGUCCUUUCUUAUUUUGAGUCUUCUCUGAACACUGGAGAAGACCCCAUAUCAAUGUUCACACCACCGCAUUACCAAACUAUGAACCACCUGCCAGCUCAUUGGGUUCACUGUCUGUGUAAAAUGCUCCGGCAUGAAGUUUCCCUUAGGGAUGGAGAGAGCGCUAUGGAGAACAGCGAAAUGUGAGGAGGAACAGAAAUGGUUAUUCCGAGUUAAAGGACAACGACUCUCCCUCAGACAGCAGUGACACUGCCCAGUUGACCUGGAGAGAGAGCGGGGAUCACAAUGGGCUACUUCAGGACGUGGACACCACAAGCCUAGAUCCUAGUGAUUCUCCAACCCAGAGGUAUGCAGGAGGACGUUACCUCUCCAUGGCGUCCUCUCGGACACACAUUUUCAACGAUGUCUGAGAGGAGCCCCUGCUCAGAGGCUGUGGGACUGAACUAACCUUUCCUCAUUGCCCACACUAGAGUUGCUAGAGUUCCAUGGAUAUUGUCUUCUUCUCUUUUGUCCUUUAGCCUGUUUGUCUGGAGAGAGAUAUUUAUUUAAUGCACAUUGGGAUCAUAAUGAAUACGAUAACAUGGACCAGGGGGUCCUGAUCCGAGAUCAGGACUGGCUUCAGUAGUCCCCCAAGAACAAAACAUUGUCUGACCUCAGGAACAAGGGAUGCAUUGAUUUCCGUUUUUAGAACCCAUUCAUUCUGUAACAACUACUCAGUGAUUUUAUCUUUAUUUAACUAGGCAAGUCAGUUAAGAACAAAUUCUUAUUUUCAAUGACAGCCUAGUGGGUUAACUGCCUUGUUCAGGGGCAGAACAACAGAUUUGUACCGUUUCACCUUUUCACCUUUCAAACUAUUUUGCCAAAUAUCAAUUAAAUAAAAGGUAUGAAUUUGUAAAUUAACUUUGAUCUACAUUAUUAUACCUGUUAAUGAGAGCAUUAUUAUUGAUGGUUUAUGGUGAUGAAGGGAUGAUUUGACCUCCUCAUACCUGCUAAUGGGAGACUUUAGGCCUAGUGGGUCAUACAGUAUGUGUGAAGGCUACUAUGGUUCUAUGACUGCAUUCCAAUGGGCUCAGGUCAUAAGUAGUGCACUAUAAAGGGAAUAGGGUGCCAUUUGGCACACAGCCUAUAUGUGUGGUCCCCGUACGGGGGUGGGUCCCAAAGACCUUCCCCAUUAUUGAUUAAGGGGACCUUAAGAUCUAUAUGUUUUGCUGCAGGCCUUAUAGUAAGAUACUGUUGCUAUGUGUCUAAAAACUCUGCCACUAUACGUUGAACAAGCAUCUAUAUUAGUCUUUGUGGUUAAGCCCUGGCUGCUGUGAGAGUGAGCUGCAGGCUGGGCCUGAGUCAGACUGAAACUAGAUCAAGAGAAGUAACUGCUGUCUGGUUUUGACAUGUUGAUCUUGUGUGACAGUAGACAAUGCUAAUAAAUUCAGAGAAGCUACUGUACUAGGCUGCCUUAUAAGGUAGCCUCAGCUUAUUGAUACACACAUACAUUGACGUAGGUGAUCAUACCACUAGGGAGGGAUCACAUGUAUGAAAUCAGCUGUGCCCUUAGGUGGGGUGCAGAAUUUACGGGGAAACAUGCGUGCCAUGUUCCUGUUGUCAACUUCUGUCUGCAAUUGCAUUAAUAAAGGUUUUUGAUUGAUUUACUUAAA